This is a long non-coding RNA of Sardina pilchardus (European sardine), 246 nucleotides long. RefSeq lists it as uncharacterized. The transcript has 3 exons. The record is from RefSeq and is a predicted model, not a curated record. Lineage: Eukaryota; Metazoa; Chordata; Actinopteri; Clupeiformes; Clupeidae.
GGUGGGGACGGGUCCAGUGAUGUGACAUAUGCCAACGUUAAAUCAAAGAAACGCAAGAAACAAGAUUCAGCUGGCCCCAGUGAUGUCACAUAUGCUGAUGUGCAGAUUAAGAUGAAACCACUGGGCAGCAGAGCCAAACCAACAAACCAGCCAGAGGAACAUCUGUAUUCUGCUGUGAAACCUGGUUGUUCAUCAAAUAAUGAAUAACACAUUUUAAGAAAUCAUUUACAUCCUUAGCAUUAAUCU